GACGAACGCUGGCGGUAUGCUUAACACAUGCAAGUCGAACGAGAAGUCUUUUAUUGAACCUUCGGGGGAUAUAAGAGACAGACAGUGGCGAACGGGUGAGUAACGCGUGGGCAACCUACCUAUCGGAGCGGGAUAGCCUCGAGAAAUCGGGAGUAAAACCGCAUAACACGGAUAUAUCGCAUGAUGAAUCCGUCAAAACUCCGGUGCCGAUAGAUGGGCCCGCGUCUGAUUAGCUAGUUGGUAAGGUAAGGGCUUACCAAGGCAACGAUCAGUAGCCGGUCUGAGAGGGCGAACGGCCACACUGGAACUGAGACACGGUCCAGACUCCUACGGGAGGCAGCAGUGGGGAAUAUUGCGCAAUGGGGGCAAACCCCUGACGCAGCAAUACCGCGUGAA
Molecule: ribosomal RNA, 396 nt
Filed under: Pseudoramibacter alactolyticus
Lineage: Bacteria; Bacillati; Bacillota; Clostridia; Eubacteriales; Eubacteriaceae
Description: bacterial SSU rRNA
Rfam family: Bacterial small subunit ribosomal RNA
Source: RNAcentral